RNAcentral lists this ribosomal RNA (255 nucleotides) under uncultured bacterium. RNAcentral describes it as "partial 16S ribosomal RNA". It matches the Rfam family "Bacterial small subunit ribosomal RNA", at positions 524 to 777 of the family's 1533-position model. The record is from RNAcentral.
UACAGAGGUCUCAAGCGUUUGUUCGGAUUCAUUGGGCGUAAAGGGUGCGUAGGCGGCGCGGUAAGUCGGGUGUGAAAUCUCGGAGCUUAACUCCGAAACUGCAUUCGAUACUGCCGUGCUUGAGGACUGGAGAGGAGACUGGAAUUUACGGUGUAGCAGUGAAAUGCGUAGAGAUCAUGAGGAAGACCAGUGGCGAAGGCGGGUCUCUGGACAGUUCCUGACACUGAGACACGAAGGCCAGGGGAGCAAACGGGG